Molecule: long non-coding RNA, 189 nt
Organism: Lytechinus variegatus (green sea urchin)
Lineage: Eukaryota; Metazoa; Echinodermata; Echinoidea; Temnopleuroida; Toxopneustidae
Exons: 2
Source: RefSeq, a predicted model, not a curated record
UGUAACUUAACACUUUUUUCAAGCAUGUGAAACUCAAGCCAUCGAUGGCACGUGAUCUUGGGACUUAGGACGAAAUACACAAUCUGGAUGACUGAGUUGGCGGUUUGAACUACAUCGAAGUAAAGUCACCCGCACAGCAGUUCCAAACCUUCGAUUUGCAGGCCGACUGUCAUCAAUCGUUGAACUGGU